Molecule: ribosomal RNA, 419 nt
Filed under: bacterium
Lineage: Bacteria
Description: partial 16S ribosomal RNA
Rfam family: Bacterial small subunit ribosomal RNA
Source: RNAcentral
UGGGGGAUAUUGCACAAUGGGCGAAAGCCUGAUGCAGCGACGCCGCGUGGGGGAUGAAGGCCUUCGGGUUGUAAACUUCUUUUGCUCUGAACAAGGCAUGCUAAUGGGUGUGUUGAGUGUAGGGGUUGAUUAGCGCCGGCUAACUACGUGCCAGCAGCCGCGGUAAUACGUAGGGCGCGAGCGUUGUCCGGAAUUAUUUGGCGUAAAGGGCUUGUAGGUGGCUGGUUGCGUCUGUCGUGAAAGCUCAUGGCUUAACUGUGGGGUUGCGGUGGGUACGGGCUGGCUUGAGUGCAGUAAAGGAGGCUGGAAUUCAUGGUGUAGCGGUGGAAUGCGCAGAUAUCAGGAGGAAUACCGGUGGCGAAGGCGGGUCUCUGGGCUGUUACUGACACUGAGGAGCGAAAGCAUGAGGAGCGAACAGG